GAUCCCGCCCUCCUGCCUGCCUGUUACUUCCCUGUGAUCCCGCCCUCCUGCCUGGAUUUCAGUAGUGUGACUUCCCUGUGAUCCCGCCCUCCUGCCUGCCUGUUACUUCCCUGUGAUCCCGCCCUCCUGCCUGGAUUUCAGUAGUGUGACUUCCCUGUGAUCCCGCCCUCCUGCCUGCCUGUUACUUCCCUGUGAUCCCGCCCUCCUGCCUGGAUUUCAGUUUCGAGUCUCGAGUUCAUUCAGUCCUGGAGUUUCUAGAAGGUAAACGGUGUGGACCGGCGACCUGACGUAGUUGACCACCAUGGAGAGCCACGAUACGGAGCCAGAAGCCAUGGACACGGAGGAGUCAAAUAAUCAUAAUUUGGAUACGAAUGAGAACAACAUGCAGUUUAUAAAAAAAGUGGAGCGGAAUAGAGAAAAACAGAGGGAAAACUUUGUGACAAGUGGAAACCUCUUCAUUAUUGUCUUCAUGAAUCUGCUCAAGGGCGCAAAGUUUCGUAAGGAAGUCGUUCGUCAUUACAUGGAACGGGUACUACAUUCCAUCUUCUUUUUUGGACAUAUUCAUUGCCCACCAAUCGCACCAGAGGAAUUCCUUCCCGAAACAUUGACUGAAAGAUAUAAAGAAGCUUUCCCAAAGCCUUUCAAGCAGUACAACACUCAUCUUCCUCGGUAUACCCCAUACUCCAUUCUCCUGGAAUACAUGACUAAAGGAAUGGAAUGGGACGAUCUAGAUUUAUUAUCGAAACACCUGGAGAAUGUUAAUAAAUCUCUGCUGAAGUCUCAUAAGGAGAAAGAAGACGAGUUUAUCGCCAAUGACUUUGCCUUCAACGCGUCUGCGGUCACAUUCUGCUGCGUCAAAGAUUCUAAUAAUGCGAAGGUCCUCAGGAAGGCGUACGGCUCGUCCUUGUCUUGUAAGGGUAAGAUUGAGAGGAAGAUAAUGAUCGCUGUGUCCGCGCUGCACGUGUGGGACCGGGCGGUCUCGUACGCAGUGUGUUGUGCAGGUCAAGGUCAUCCUAUAACCUUCCCUGAACGAGUGGAGUGCAUGACCUAUAGCUUCAUACAAAGAAAGAAAAUCCCUCCAUGUAACAAAUGCUUCAAAAUGUACAAGCUAAAGGCUAUCCCCGAACACGAAGCGCACAAUAAAAUGGAGCACUGGCCGUACGGAAACUGCGCCGAAAACGAGUCUCUCAGCCGGCUGCUACAGUGCGAUGAAGACGUGAGGAGAGAAAUCUGUAUAAUAGACGAGAACGGCCGCAAAGUGAUGAACAGACAGGACAUAGAGAAUAAGUUCAAAGAAGAGUAUGAGGAUGAAAUUAAGAGGACCGCCCGAAAUAACCUCACACCCCGAAAGGUCACACUCCCCCUUGGAGAAUGGAACUUCUUCAGCCCCGAUUAAUCAGGUUGAGCUAUGAUCUCAGGUAUCUUCUUUACCCCGCAACACGCUACUACGGAAAUAUGAAGAUUUAGGCCAGUGUUUCCCAACCAGGGUGCCUCCAGAUUUGCAGUUUUGCAACAGCUGGAGGUUUACAGUUUGGAGGCCACUGUGCUAGGUUAUUAUAAAGAUGCUUUCAUCUGAUGAGUUAAUCUGCUAGGGGAGGACAUAGCUGCUUGUAACCAAAUGCCAUCCAGGCAUGCUGGGAGUUAUAGUUUUGCUAAACCUGGAGGCACCCUGGUUGGGAAACACUGAUUUAGGGUACGUUCACAUGGGCAAAUUACCUGCGGAAUUUUGCUACCAUUAACUUCAAUGGGUCAGCAGAAAAUCCGCAAUAGAGGCAGUUUUGCAGAUUUUCCUUCGGACCCAUUGAAUUCAAUGGUAGCGGAUUAUCUGCUGCGGAAAUUCUGCAGGUAAUCCGCCCGUGUGAACGUACCCUUAGGCUAUGUUCACACGGCAGAAUGUUCACACAGAAUUCCGCAGCCACAGAUUUCAAUGGGAUUCUGCUGCUCCGUUCACACGCCGCGGAAAUCCUGUUUCUGGCAUCAGCAAAAAAAACACUAAGGCUAGGCUCACACUACGGAAUUUCCGCCUGCAAUUCCGCUUCCUAAAAUGUACUGUAUAGUGAAUGGGUUUCCCGUUCCCAAAUUCACACUUCAGGAAUUUGUGAAGCGGAAUUUGGGAUACGGAAAAUCCGCUUGAAAAUUUCCGCCUGAAGAAUGGCGUUGCUCGUUCUUCAGGCGGAAAAACUCGCGGAACACAUUGCAGUCUAUUGGAGACUGCGGUGUCCGCGCGGUCCUCAAUCAGUCGGCGCCGGCCGCACUCGGAAUCUGCAGUGUGAACCCCUAGCCUAAACCUUUUCAAUGUUUUUGCAGAUUCCGCAAGGAAAUGCAUUUCCGUCUAUGAGACGGCAAUGCGUUUCUGAGCGGUCCUAGCGCCGGCAUGUUCUGGCGGUCCUCCGCUGUCUGUGGAAUGACCGCCCAGAAAUUUUCCGUGCAGACAUUCCAACGUGUGAACAAAGCCUUACUGUCACAACAGAUGGUUGGUGCCUACGUUUCAAAACUAUAUAACUUUAUUGUUUUCAAGAUUAUACACACGGUGCUUGAUACAAAUAGGAAAAUGUAUUAUCUGUGUAAUUGAUGCUGGUGGUAAUGGCCUUCUGGGAUAAAAAUGGAAGAAUGCGCUUCCCAGACGUAUGCAAAUGUGUAUGCAACUCGAUAUAUAUAUAUAGUGGAACAGCGACAGGAAUGGUCAUACGGGAUCUCUAGAUUUUCGUAUAUGGAUACCAGGUUUCAGGAAGUGCAUAUCCCAUCCAAAGAAAGCUGGGUGAGAUAUGGGGAGUACAAGAAAUAGUUUCAAUUCCUGGCAUGACUUACCUCGCUAGGGAGUUUUGUUAUCAGUCCUGGAAUUUUAAGGAAUAAAAAGCAGGUUUGGUAGUGGGGCUUUUCAUUUUCAGGUUGGCAUAAAAGGGGUACUCCGCUGCUCAGCGUUUGAAACAAACAGUUUUGAAAGUUGGAUGCGCGCCG
Hyla sarda is the source of this 2958-nucleotide RNA transcript. RefSeq lists it as uncharacterized. NCBI's taxonomy places the organism in Eukaryota, Metazoa, Chordata, Amphibia, Anura, Hylidae. The transcript is spliced from 7 exons. The record is from RefSeq and is a predicted model, not a curated record.